AUUGAACGCUGGCGGCAUGCCUUACACAUGCAAGUCGAACGGCAGCACGGGGCAACCUGGUGGCGAGUGGCGAACGGGUGAGUAAUGCAUCGGAACGUGCCAUUGAGUGGGGGACAACGUAGCGAAAGUUGCGCUAAUACCGCAUAUUCUGUGAGCAGGAAAGCAGGGGACCGCAAGGCCUUGCGCUCUUUGAGCGGCCGAUGUCAGAUUAGCUAGUUGGUGAGGUAACGGCUUACCAAGGCGACGAUCUGUAGCGGGUCUGAGAGGAUGAUCCGCCACACUGGAACUGAGACACGGCCCAGACUCCUACGGGAGGCAGCAGUGGGGAAUUUUGGACAAUGGGGGCAACCCUGAUCCAGCCAUGCCGCGUGAGUGAAGAAGGCC
RNAcentral lists this ribosomal RNA (384 nucleotides) under uncultured bacterium. RNAcentral's name for it is "bacterial SSU rRNA". It matches the Rfam family "Bacterial small subunit ribosomal RNA", at positions 30 to 416 of the family's 1533-position model. The record is from RNAcentral.